Molecule: ribosomal RNA, 860 nt
Filed under: uncultured bacterium
Lineage: Bacteria
Description: bacterial SSU rRNA
Rfam family: Bacterial small subunit ribosomal RNA
Source: RNAcentral
GGUAACACUUCGGGUGACGAGCGGCGGACGGGUGCGUAACGCGUGAGAAUCUACCUUUUAGUGGGGGACAACCCGGGGAAACUCGGGCUAAUACCGCAUGUGUCCUACGGGAUAAAGCAGGGGAUCUUCGGACCUUGCGCUAAAAGAUGAGCUCGCGUGAGAUUAGCUUGUUGGUGAGGUAAAGGCUCACCAAGGCAACGAUCUCUAGCUGGUCUGAGAGGAUGAUCAGCCACACUGGGACUGAGACACGGCCCAGACUCCUACGGGAGGCAGCAGUGGGGAAUAUUGGACAAUGGGGGCAACCCUGAUCCAGCAAUUCCGCGUGUGUGAAGAAGGCCUGCGGGUUGUAAAGCACUUUCAGUAGCCAAGAUGGGGUUGCUUGCUAAUAUCAAGUAGCUUUGACAUUAACUACAGAAGAAGCACCGGCUAACUCCGUGCCAGCAGCCGCGGUAAUACGGAGGGUGCAAGCGUUAAUCGGAAUUACUGGGCGUAAAGAGCACGUAGGCGGCUUUGCAAGUCGGGUGUGAAAUCCCUGAGCUUAACUCAGGAACUGCAUUCGAUACUGCAUCGCUAGAGUAUGUUAGAGGAUAGUGGAAUUCCAGGUGUAGCGGUGAAAUGCGUAGAUAUCUGGAGGAACACCAAUGGCGAAGGCAGCUAUCUGGAGCAAUACUGACGCUGAGGUGCGAAAGCGUGGGGAGCGAACAGGAUUAGAUACCCUGGUAGUCCACGCCCUAAACGAUGAGAACUAGACGUUGGGUAUUUAUACCGAGUGUCGUAGCUAACGCGUUAAGUUCUCCGCCUGGGGAGUACGACCGCAAGGUUGAAACUCAAAGUAAUUGACGGGGGCCCGCACAAGCGGU